AGCAGCCGCGGUAAUUCCAGCUCCAAUAGCGUAUAUUUAAGUUGUUGCAGUUAAAAAGCUCGUAGUUGAAUUUCGGGGUCAGUAGGUUGGUCGUGCCACCGGUACGUACUGGUCUCACUGAUUCCUCCUUCCUGAUGAGCUGUAAUGCCAUUAAUUUGGUGUUGCAGGGAAUCUGGACUGUUACUUUGAAAAAUUAGAGUGUUUAAAGCAGGCUAACGCUUGAAUACAUUAGCAUGGAAUAAUGAAAUAGGACGUUCGAUCCUAUUUGUUGGUUUCUAGGAUUGACGUAAUGAUUAAGUAGGAUAGGUUGGGGC
Molecule: ribosomal RNA, 314 nt
Filed under: uncultured Glomus
Lineage: Eukaryota; Fungi; Glomeromycota; Glomeromycetes; Glomerales; Glomeraceae
Description: SSU rRNA
Rfam family: Eukaryotic small subunit ribosomal RNA
Source: RNAcentral